This 377-nucleotide unclassified non-coding RNA is filed under the name soil metagenome. Its description in RNAcentral is "partial contains 5.8S ribosomal RNA, internal transcribed spacer 2, and large subunit ribosomal RNA". The stretch from base 1 to 120 matches the Rfam family "5.8S ribosomal RNA", at positions 35 to 154 of the family's 154-position model. The record is from RNAcentral.
GAUGAAGAACGUAGCGAAAUGCGAUAAGUAAUGUGAAUUGCAGAAUUCAGUGAAUCAUCGAAUCUUUGAACGCACCUUGCACCCUUUGGCAUUCCGAAGGGUAUGCUCGUUUGAGUGUCAUUGUACUCUCACACUUCCGAUCUUUGGAUUGGGAGCGGUGGACUUGGGUGUUGCUGCUUACUGUGGCUCACCUCAAAUCGAUUCGUGCACCUCUUGGUUGGACAUAGUACGGCGUGAUAAGUGUCUUCGCCGGCACCUCAGUAGAGGGUGGCUGAUCGGGAGCUCUGCUUCAAACCGUCCUCGGACAACGACUGACAACUUGACCUCAAAUCGAGUAGGACUACCCGCUGAACUUAAGCAUAUCAAUAAGCGGAGGA